This 302-nucleotide ribosomal RNA is filed under the name Epipyga sp. AJB-2014. RNAcentral's name for it is "partial 12S ribosomal RNA". Lineage: Eukaryota; Metazoa; Arthropoda; Insecta; Hemiptera; Epipygidae. The record is from RNAcentral.
AUAAGGUCUUUAAAUUUAUAGAAUUUGGCGGUAAUUAAGUCUAAAUAGAGGAACCUGUUCUAUAAUCGAUAAUCCACGAUUAACUUUACUUUAAUGAGGCUUAUAUACCUCUAUACAACGGAAUGUAUUAAAAAAUUAUUUUCUUCACUCUUAAUUAAGAUUAAUAUUAGGUCAAGGUGUAGCUUGUAUUAAAGUAGAAAUGGGUUACAUUAAUUGAAUCAUUAUUUGAAAUAGUAUAAGUGAAAUUGGAUUUAUAGGUAAUUUUAAUCAGUAAAAUUAUUUUGAUUUAUGCUCUUAAUUAU